RNAcentral lists this ribosomal RNA (396 nucleotides) under Oenanthe oenanthe oenanthe. RNAcentral's name for it is "partial 12S ribosomal RNA". It matches the Rfam family "Bacterial small subunit ribosomal RNA", at positions 794 to 1384 of the family's 1533-position model. The record is from RNAcentral. Lineage: Eukaryota; Metazoa; Chordata; Aves; Passeriformes; Muscicapidae.
GCCUGGCCCUAAAUCUUGAUGUUCCACCUUACCUGAACAUCCGCCCGAGAACUACGAGCACAAACGCUUAAAACUCUAAGGACUUGGCGGUGCCCCAAACCCACCUAGAGGAGCCUGUUCUGUAAUCGAUGAUCCACGAUAUUACCUGACCAUUUCUUGCCAAAACAGCCUAUAUACCGCCGUCGCCAGCUCACCUUCCCUGACAGUCCAACAGUGAGCGCAAUAGCCCCAUCACGCUAAUAAGACAGGUCAAGGUAUAGCCUAUGGAAUGGAAGCAAUGGGCUACAUUUUCUAAGUUAGAACAUACGGCAAAGGGAUUUGAAACUGUCCCUGGAAAGCGGAUUUAGCAGUAAAGUGGGACAAUCGAGCCCUCUUUAAGCCGGCUCUGGGGCACGU